Molecule: ribosomal RNA, 400 nt
Filed under: uncultured bacterium
Lineage: Bacteria
Description: bacterial SSU rRNA
Rfam family: Bacterial small subunit ribosomal RNA
Source: RNAcentral
AGGAUCGGCCCGCGUUGGAUUAGGUAGUUGGUGGGGUAAUGGYCUACCAAGCCGACGAUYCAUAGCUGGUUUGAGAGGAUGAUCAGCCACACUGGGACUGAGACACGGCCCAGGCUCCUACGGGAGGCAGCAGUGGGGAAUCUUAUACAAUGGGGGAAACCCUGAUCUAGCCAUGCCGCGUGAUCGAUGAAGGCCUUAGGGUUGUAAAGAUCUUUCAGUGGGGAAGAUAAUGACGGUACCCACAGAAGAAGCCCCGGCUAACUUCCGUGCCAGCAGCCGCGGUAAUACGGAGGGGGCUAGCGUUGUUCGGAAUUACUGGGCCGUAAAGCGCACGUAGGCGGACCCGGAAAGUCAGAGGUGAAAUCCCAGGGCUUAACCCUUGGAACUGCCUUUUGAAACU